Molecule: ribosomal RNA, 582 nt
Filed under: uncultured Bacteroidota bacterium
Lineage: Bacteria; Pseudomonadati; Bacteroidota
Description: uncultured Bacteroidetes bacterium partial 16S ribosomal RNA
Rfam family: Bacterial small subunit ribosomal RNA
Source: RNAcentral
ACUCUGGGAUAGCCUUUCGAAAGAAAGAUUAAUACCGGAUGGUACUUUUUCAAGGCAUCNNNNNAAANNNAAANAUUUAUUGGUUAUGGAUGGGGAUGCGUUCCAUUANAUAGUUGGUGAGGUAACGGCUCACCAAGUCUUCGAUGGAUAGGGGUUCUGAGAGGAAGGUCCCACACAUUGGUACUGANACACGGACCAAACUCCUACGGGAGGCAGCAGUGAGGAAUAUUGGUCAAUGGGCGAGAGCCUGAACCAGCCAAGUAGCGUGAAGGAUGAAGGUCCUAUGGAUUGUAAACUUCUUUUAUAGUANAAUAAAGUGACCCACGUGUGGGUUUUUGUAUGUAUACUAUGAAUAANGAUCGGCUAACUCCGUGCCAGCANCCGCGGUAAUACGGAGGAUCCGAGCGUUAUCCGGAUUUAUUGGGUUUAAAGGGUGCGUANGCGGAAUAAUAAGUCANUUGUGAAAGUUUGCGGCUCAACCGUAAAAUUGCAGUUGAUACUGUUAUUCUUGAGUGUACAUAAGGUANGCGGAAUUCNUGGUGUANCGGUGAAAUGCUUANAUAUCACNANNAACUCCGAUUG